This 380-nucleotide ribosomal RNA is filed under the name uncultured cyanobacterium. RNAcentral describes it as "bacterial SSU rRNA". It matches the Rfam family "Bacterial small subunit ribosomal RNA", at positions 376 to 770 of the family's 1533-position model. Lineage: Bacteria; Bacillati; Cyanobacteriota. The record is from RNAcentral.
CGAAAGCCUGACGGAGCAAUACCGCGUGAGGGAUGACGGCCUAUGGGUUGUAAACCUCUUUUCUCAGGGAGGAAAUCAAUGACGUUACCUGAGGAAUAAGCAUCGGCUAACUCCGUGCCAGCAGCCGCGGUAAGACGGAGGAUGCAAGUGUUAUCCGGAAUCACUGGGCGUAAAGCGUCUGUAGGUGGCUUAACAAGUCAACUGUUAAAUCUUGAAGCUCAACUUCGAAAUCGCAGUCGAAACUGUUAGGCUAGAGUAUAGUAGGGGUAAAGGGAAUUUCCAGUGGAGCGGUGAAAUGCGUAGAGAUUGGAAAGAACACCGAUGGCGAAGGCACUUUACUGGGCUAUUACUGACACUCAGAGACGAAAGCUAGGGUAGCA